UGGAAGUAAAAGUCGUAACAAGGUUUCCGUAGGUGAACCUGCGGAAGGAUCAUUAAUGAAUUUUAGGACUCUCUUUUUAGAGGUCCGACCCUUUCAUUUCCAUACACUGUGCACACACUUCUUUUCACACAUUUUAACACUAUAGUAUAAGAAUGUAACAGUCUCUUUAUUGAGCAUAAAUAAAAAUAAAACUUUCAGCAACGGAUCUCUUGGCUCUCGCAUCGAUGAAGAACGCAGCGAAUUGCGAUAAGUAAUGUGAAUUGCAGAAUUCAGUGAAUCAUCGAAUCUUUGAACGCACCUUGCACUCUUUGGUAUUCCGAAGAGUAUGUCUGUUUGAGUGUCAUGAAACUCUCAACCCCCCUAUUUUGUAAUGAGAUGGGCGUGGGCUUGGAUUAUGACUGCUGUCGGCGUAAUUGCCGGCUCAGUUGAAAUACACGAGCAACCCAUUUGAAAUAAACGGCUUGACUCGGCGUAAUAAUUAUUUCGCUGAGGACGUUUUCUUCAAAAGUUAGAGGUGCUUCUAAUGCGCUAUUACAGCACUUUAAAUUUUAGACCUCAAAUCAGUCAGGACUACCCGCUGAACUUAAGCAUAUCAAAA
Molecule: unclassified non-coding RNA, 598 nt
Filed under: Cystobasidium laryngis
Lineage: Eukaryota; Fungi; Basidiomycota; Cystobasidiomycetes; Cystobasidiales; Cystobasidiaceae
Description: sequence contains ITS1, 5.8S rRNA gene and ITS2
Rfam family: 5.8S ribosomal RNA (bases 190-343)
Source: RNAcentral